This 460-nucleotide ribosomal RNA is filed under the name uncultured bacterium. RNAcentral's name for it is "bacterial SSU rRNA". It matches the Rfam family "Bacterial small subunit ribosomal RNA", at positions 29 to 534 of the family's 1533-position model. The record is from RNAcentral.
AACGAACGCUGGCGGCAGGCCUAACACAUGCAAGUCGAACGCCCUAGCAAUAGGGAGUGGCAGACGGGUGAGUAACACGUGGGAACCUUCCCUAUAGUAUGGAAUAGCCCAGGGAAACUUGGAGUAAUACCGUAUACGCCCGAGAGGGGAAAGAUUUAUCGCUAUAGGAUGGGCCCGCGUAGGAUUAGCUAGUUGGUGAGGUAAUGGCUCACCAAGGCGACGAUCCUUAGCUGGUCUGAGAGGACGACCAGCCACACUGGGACUGAGACACGGCCCAGACUCCUACGGGAGGCAGCAGUGGGGAAUAUUGGACAAUGGGCGCAAGCCUGAUCCAGCCAUGCCGCGUGAGUGAUGAAGGCCUUAGGGUUGUAAAGCUCUUUUGCCGGGGACGAUAAUGACGGUACCCGGAGAAUAAGUCCCGGCUAACUUCGUGCCAGCGGCCGCGGUAAAACGUAGCGUG